GACGAACGCUGGCGGCGCGCUUAACACAUGCAAGUCGAGCGAGAACCAGUCCUUCGGGACUGGGGAAAGCGGCGAACGGGUGAGUAACACGUGGGUAAUCUGCCCUCGGCACUGGGAUAGCCCGGGGAAGCCCGGAUUAAUACCGGAUAGCCUUUCGAGCCUUCGGGCUCGUCAGAAAAGGUGGCUUCGGCUUCCGGCUGAGGAUGAGCCCGCGGCGGAUUAGCUUGUUGGUGGGGUAAUGGCCUACCAAGGCGACGAUCCGUAGCUGGUCUGAGAGGACGAUCAGCCACACUGGGACUGAGACACGGCCCAGACUCCGACGGGAGGCAGCAGUGGGGAAUCUUGCGCAAUGGGCGAAAGCCUGACGCAGCGACGCCGCGUGCGGGAAGAAGGCCUUCGGGUUGUAAACCGCUUUCAGGAGGGACGAAGCCACUCGGGUUAAUAGCCCAGAGGGUGACGGUACCUCCAGAAGAAGCCCCGGCUAACUACGUGCCAGCCGCCGCGGUAA
This 508-nucleotide ribosomal RNA is filed under the name uncultured bacterium. Its description in RNAcentral is "partial 16S ribosomal RNA". It matches the Rfam family "Bacterial small subunit ribosomal RNA", at positions 28 to 523 of the family's 1533-position model. The record is from RNAcentral.